This 26-nucleotide non-coding RNA is filed under the name Rattus norvegicus (Norway rat). Lineage: Eukaryota; Metazoa; Chordata; Mammalia; Rodentia; Muridae. The record is from RNAcentral.
UAGGAUGUUAUACUGAGACUGGGGGU